Molecule: ribosomal RNA, 1156 nt
Filed under: Lactiplantibacillus plantarum
Lineage: Bacteria; Bacillati; Bacillota; Bacilli; Lactobacillales; Lactobacillaceae
Description: bacterial SSU rRNA
Source: RNAcentral
GCAUCAUGAUUUACAUUUGAGUGAGUGGCGAACUGGUGAGUAACACGUGGGAAACCUGCCCAGAAGCGGGGGAUAACACCUGGAAACAGAUGCUAAUACCGCAUAACAACUUGGACCGCAUGGUCCGAGUUUGAAAGAUGGCUUCGGCUAUCACUUUUGGAUGGUCCCGCGGCGUAUUAGCUAGAUGGUGRGGUAACGGCUCACCAUGGCAAUGAUACGUAGCCGACCUGAGAGGGUAAUCGGCCACAUUGGGACUGAGACACGGCCCAAACUCCUACGGGAGGCAGCAGUAGGGAAUCUUCCACAAUGGACGAAAGUCUGAUGGAGCAACGCCGCGUGAGUGAAGAAGGGUUUCGGCUCGUAAAACUCUGUUGUUAAAGAAGAACAUAUCUGAGAGUAACUGUUCAGGUAUUGACGGUAUUUAACCAGAAAGCCACGGCUAACUACGUGCCAGCAGCCGCGGUAAUACGUAGGUGGCAAGCGUUGUCCGGAUUUAUUGGGCGUAAAGCGAGCGCAGGCGGUUUUUUAAGUCUGAUGUGAAAGCCUUCGGCUCAACCGAAGAAGUGCAUCGGAAACUGGGAAACUUGAGUGCAGAAGAGGACAGUGGAACUCCAUGUGUAGCGGUGAAAUGCGUAGAUAUAUGGAAGAACACCAGUGGCGAAGGCGGCUGUCUGGUCUGUAACUGACGCUGAGGCUCGAAAGUAUGGGUAGCAAACAGGAUUAGAUACCCUGGUAGUCCAUACCGUAAACGAUGAAUGCUAAGUGUUGGAGGGUUUCCGCCCUUCAGUGCUGCAGCUAACGCAUUAAGCAUUCCGCCUGGGGAGUACGGCCGCAAGGCUGAAACUCAAAGGAAUUGACGGGGGCCCGCACAAGCGGUGGAGCAUGUGGUUUAAUUCGAAGCUACGCGAAGAACCUUACCAGGUCUUGACAUACUAUGCAAAUCUAAGAGAUUAGACGUUCCCUUCGGGGACAUGGAUACAGGUGGUGCAUGGUUGUCGUCAGCUCGUGUCGUGAGAUGUUGGGUUAAGUCCCGCAACGAGCGCAACCCUUAUUAUCAGUUGCCAGCAUUAAGUUGGGCACUCUGGUGARACUGCCGGUGACAAACCGGAGGAAGGUGGGGAUGACGUCAAAUCAUCAUGCCCCUUAUGACCUGGGC